CGCAGCCACGCCCCCGCGCUGCGGCCACGCCCCUCCAACUCCGCAUUAGCGGAGGACUGGGAGGUGCCCCGGGACCCGGUGGAGCUAGGUGGUUGAGCUAUCUUCUCCCUUCUAAGAAACUAUCUUGACGUCCAACCUGAAGCUGCUGAGAGUGGGAGAGACUUUGUAUCUAAUCCUGAGAGCUUAUUUUGGACGCAUCUGUGAUGUAGAAAGAGACGGACCAGGAUUCAAGGACAGCCUCUACAGGAAGUACAAGAAUAUCAAGAUGUAUUUUUGGAGAUAAAUUAGUCAUCUCUUGAACAAUUCACAAAAGCCACAUUCACACUGAAGAAAUUUGACAGAAACACUCUCGUAGGGUCUCUCUAUAUAUCCCUGGAUGUCCUGCAGCUCACUAUGUAAACCAGCUAGAUUCAAAUUCACAGAAAUCCUCCUGCCUCUGCCUCCAGAGUGCUGGAUUAAAGGUAUGCACCAACAUAGCCCAGCUUCACUAUUUAAUUCUUCUUUUAAAUUACUAUUAUUAGUUAAUUAAUUAAUUUAUUAUUUGUAUAUAGAUACUUUACUUGCAUGCAAAUUCAUAUCUAUAUCUAGCUAUCUUUCAAUCAAUAAGUCUGUAUCCCUUAAAUACCAACACACCAGUUCCCAUUUUAAUUCUCUGUAUUGAAGCAAUAUUCAGUAGUAUUAAAUAAAAGAUUUAUAUGCUUUACCUGUAGAACAACAACUAUCCAUGUCAGUUGAUUAUAUCCUUGAAAAAAUCCAUUCUUUGAUACCAAUUCUCCAUCAUAAACGUACACACCCAUUAAUCCAAAUAUACUCCCAAAGAAACCUAAAAGAAAGUAAAAUCCAGGUCAUGUGGCAGUUUCUCUGAAGACAAUCCUGUUUCCUCCCCAGCCCUCCCACUCCUCUCCUCACUCCAAUGGCAGGGUCCUGCUUUGCAUAGGAGGACAGCAUGGGAUUUAGCACACAAACUGGACUGGAGCUCUUAUACCUGUUGCCUUGGUCUCCCAAGUCCUGGGACUACAGGCCUGCGCCAAGCUGCACAACUUAUUUCUUUUUGAUGAAUACUUUAAAAAAAUACUUCACUUGAGUGGUUGGUGGUGGUGGUGCACGCCUUUGAUCCCAGCACUAGGGAGGCAGAGGCAGGUGGAUCUCUUGAGUUUGAAGCCAACCUGGUCUACUGAGCAAGUCCCAGGAGAGCCAGGACUACACAGAGAAACCCUGCCUCGGGAAAAAACCAAAUCACUUGAUUUAUAUAUAAACAAUGAAUUUUACAUAAUACUAUAUGAUGACUACAAAAGACAUACAUAAGCAGAUAGGCAUGAAAAUAUUUUUAAAAAUAAUUUAGCAACUGUUAAACACUAUAAUAAUAUUUAAAUUACAGAAUUUGAAUUAUUAGAUUGAUGAUCCAUUCAAGCAUUUAUAAAAUGCUUGCGUAGUAUUCCACUGUAUCAUCAGUUUUCCUACUGCUAUAACCACAUUUGUUUGAGUAACAUUCAUACUUACAUACAAGAAAGCUAACACAUAGGACAUAGUUUCUUUGUAAAAUUUUUGUUAAGAUAGGCAAUGAACAUGAAUUACAAAGAGAAUAUAAAGCUGUUUUUCUAGUUCUAAGUCUCUCAUGAAUUUUUGUUUAUUUUGGUUUUGGUAGAGGACAUGUGCAUAAAAAUAUACUUCAUAGUAAAAGUGCAAAACCCAGUGUGUAGUGCCAAGGCUUCUGUCCAAAUGCCUAUUCUAAUCGUGUAUAAGCUCAGGUUCUUUAUCUGUAAGUUUUUUAAAAAUAAUAAAUCUUAUUUUUUAAAGAUUUUUUUAAGUACAAUACUUGAUAACCGAAACUCGAGGUUAAGAAGUGGUCAAAGCCAUCAUCGGGUUCUGUAUUUACUGCUUGAGUCUCACUGAUAGAACUGGCUCAGUGAACGUCACUGCUGAAUCCCACGUGCCAACACAGCCUCCAGACCUGGCGCACCGGUGGCCUAUAGACACCUACAGGGGCCACAUCCUAUGGCACACAAGAUGAAUGCAGUCAAAGAGGGUAUGUGUGAUGGUUUUAAAUAAAGCUAUAGCUAGGAAGACUGUGAGGACCAUGCAAAGUUCAUUUGUACAAGCUCAACCAUUGAAUGCGCCUCAUUUAGUAUGAAGCUAACCAUGGCAUGUGACUUUUAAAAAAUGCCCAAAGGCAUACAUUUUAAAAUUUAACUUAAAAAUUAAAAUGUGGCAAUUACUAAAAUACAUAUUUAGUACAUGUUGGAGCUAAAAAGUCCUCCAAACCACCAAAUGUUCAAGAAUUAUUCUCUGUCUUUUUACCACGAUGAGGAUGGGCUUGGUGGGAAGCCAUAGGUCACUUGCAAGCCUAUGAUCAGGACUGUGCAUCCCUAGCCUCUUCUUCUCCACUUCUAUUUAUUGUGCUACCAUAAAUAAAUAGCUUCCUCUGUCUUGCAUGUUCUGAUGUUAUGUCCUGCCCUGACACAGGCCCAAAAUCAAUGGAACAUCAGCUCGAAGCCCCAAAAUUUUAAGAGGAGGCAAACAUUAUCUCUGUAAGCUGAUCUAUCUUGUGUUUGUCACAGUGACAGAAGGCUGUCUAGCAGUAUACAAGAAUACAUAUGAGUUACAUCAGUAUAUAUAGAUAGAUCUUUCACAUUCCCAUAGUGGCCGGAUAUUCCACUGACUAGUAGUAUUAGAUAUCUUUUAUACCGACACUAACAUACUACAGGCCUCUUGGGCUGACUCUUAUUUUUGAUGAGGAAACUUCUCCCCAAGUCCAUGCGAUGAAAUGGACUCAGUAGUUGAAUCCAGGCAAUUUGGCCCUGGGUCCUCUUUUACUUUACAUUUUCUCUCUGUCUUCUAAAAUACAAUCUUAGUUAUACUUAAUCAAAAUAGUAAUUCAUUCAGACAGUAAUAUUUUCAUUUUGUUUUGUUUUCUUGUUUUUUUAAACAGUUGUAACCGAUGCUAACAUUUUCUUCUCCUCUAAGCUAUUUGCCACCAGUUAGGAAGGAGUAGGGUAAAAAGACAAAACAUUACCCUGAAAUAAAACAGCAUGUCACGACUGUAAAAGAGAUGAAAAUUGCUUCCUUUCCAACUUCUUACAUUGUAGGAGUAAAAUAUGUAAAUUAGUUGUAGCAUCUUCACACAUGCUAAGACUCCAUAAUUGAGGGCAGGGGCAGGCUACACUCUCCGAUCAUCAACCUAUUUUUCUAUAUCAUGAGCUAAGGCAUUCAUUUCAAAUCCAGUUUUCUAAGGGCAAGAUCAUUACCAGUUCUUUGUGUCAACAUCGCAUUUGCACUCAAGGCCUAUAUACUUAAGACUUAGGGAGAUCUACAAAUAUAAGAACAUAAUACUUGUCUGGUUCUUUUUAAGAUUUGGUCUCCCUGUGUAGCCUGGUUGGUUUCCUGCCUCAGCCUUAUGAGUGCUAGGAUCAGAGAUGUGCACCACCAUACAUGAGUGGUACAGUUAUUUAGAGAUAUAUAUUAGAAAGCUUCUAAAACUUACCAAGUUGAAUGUUUCUUAUCCAUACUGAUUGUUUUGUUUCUUUUAAGAUUUUCUCAAAAUAAACUCCGGCGAAGCCACUUGAAAAACAGGCUAUGAGAACUGCCAUGAGGCCCACAAACUGUGAGCCAGUUGAAAGGUCCUUAGAAUUCAGCUCUUGAGAAUCUGAAGGCCACUGAAUAAAAACAAAACCAAGACUCAAAAGGGCAGUGAGAUGGCUCAGUGGGUAGAGACACUUACAGCCAGCACUGGCAACCUGGGUCUUAUCCCUGGGACCACAUGAUGGAUGGAGGGGACUGACUCUCACAAGCUGUCCCCUGACCUCCACAUUGUGGUACCGCCUCAGCACAAGUACAUACACAUGGAAGAAGAUAAGAUACCUCAAGCAUAGUAGAAAGAGAAGCUGGUGGGAAGGGAACCACAAACACUAUAAGGAAAUUACAGUUCAUCAAAACAUGAAAGUCGGUUAAAUUACUAGACUGGGCAUAGUAUCCAUAAGAUUUGGAUGUUUACUGACCAUGGUGUAAUAAUUUAACCAUUGCUAAAGGUCUCUGUCUUCUGAUGUUCUGAGUCUUACUGAGCCACUUCUAAUGAAACUAUACAUUUUAAACUAUGUAUAUCCAUGUACAGUGGCUUUUAUUAUGACAUGUUCAUACAUGUGUUUCAUGUUCUCUGACCAUACCCUCUCCUCCAUCAUUACUACACUGUCUGCAUUCCCACUGCUCUAUUUCUUUCUCAAAAUAGCCCCUUUCGAUUUUCCCACAUUUUUUAAUCUAGAUUUUCCUCUCUCCUUUUUAUUGUUUUUUGGGGGUUGUUUUGUUUUGUUUUUCCAAGACUGGGUUUCGGGCUGGAGACAUGGCUUAGUGGUUAAGAGCACUGACUGCUCUUCCAGAGGUCCUGAGUCCAAAUCCCAGCAACCACGUGGUGGCUCACAACCAUCUGUAAUGAGAUCUGAUGCCCUCUUCUGGUGUGUCUGAAGACAGCGACAGUGUACUUACAUAUAAUUAAUUAAUUAAUUAACUAAUUAAGAAAAAGACUGGGUUUCUUUGUGUAGCCCUGGGUGUCCUGGAAUUAGCUCUGUACCAGAAUGACCUUAAAAGGAGAUCCACCUGCCUCUGCCUCCCAAGUGUUGGGAUUAAAGGUGUGAACCACCAGGAUAGCCCUUGGUCUUCAUUUUUCAACUGCAAAAUUCUGCUAUUUUGCUUAACAUAAUGAUCUCCAGUUCUACAUAAUUUCAUUUUUCAUAUAAAAAUAAAUCUCCAUAUAUAUAUAUAAAUUACAGUAUCCAUUGACACACAGAUAGGCAUUUAAACUGGUUCCAUAACUUAAGUAUUAUGAGCAACUCUGCAAUAAAUAUUAAUAUCUCUGUAGUAUGUUCAAAUAUAUACUUUGAAAUGGUAAAGCUGGAUCGCGUGGGAAUAUUUUUACUUACUGAGCAAGAUGGUUCAAUAGAGAAGGUGUUCGCUUUGCAAGCCUGACAGCCUGAGUUCAAUCCCAUGGAGAAAUUUCCAUUCUAUUUUCUAACUGGCUGCUUUGAAUUACAUGCCAAUCAGAGGAGCAGUAACAUUGAUUUCCCCACUAUUUGUUGUUUGUUUUGCUGAUAAUAGCCAUUCUAAUUAGGACAUGGACUCAGUGUAGUUUUGAUUUACAUUUCCCUAACGGCCAAAAAUGGUGAACAUUUUAGGUGUUUAUGGUAUCGGUAUUGGUAUUUCUUUUGAGAACUAUCUGCUCAGUUCAUUUGCCUGAUUAUUAAUAGGCUUGGGAUGUCUGGAUGCUUGGUUGGUUAUUUUUUUCAGUUCUUUAUAUAACUGCAUGUUAACCCUGUCUGAUGAGGAAGAAGUGAACACCCUCUUCCCACCUGACGGUCUCUUUGGUCUGUUUUCAAUGUCAUGCAGCUUUUACAUUUCAUGCAAUCAUAUCUGGCAAUUCUGGCUACUGUUUCCUUGAAUUGGAAUCUAUCAAAGAGUUCUGGCCCUGAGCUAUCUCUUAAGUGCUAUCCUGUUCCCUUUCACAUCCUCCAAGGUUUACAUUAAAGUCCUCAAUCCAUUUGCAACCGAGUUCUGUGCUGGGUGGGAAUGUGGCUAGUCUUAGCCUUGCACUGUGGAUACACAUGCAUAGCUUCUGAACACCACUUGUUGAAGAGGCUGUUCUUUAAUGUAUGCUGCACUGGCUGGCUGCAUGUAAACUUGACAAAAAACUAGCAUCAUUAGAGAGGAAGGAGCCUUAGGUAAGGAAAUGCCUCCAUGAGAUCAGCUAUAUGGUAUUUUCACAAUUAGUAAUCAGUGGGCGAGGGCCCAGCCCAUUGCUUUCUCUAAGAAAGAAGCUAAGCAAACUAGGGGAAGCAAGCCAGUACAAGCAGCACCCUUUCAUGGCCUUUGCCUUCAGGUUCUAGCCAUUUUGAGUUCCUGACUUUGAUGAUGAACAGUGAUAUGAAGUGUAAGCCAAAAUAAACCCUUGCCUCCCAAACUUGCUUUUUGGUCAUGGUGUUACAUUGCAGCAAUAGAAAUACUAAGACAUGGAUUUAUUUCUGAGACUUUCUCAUCUGAGGGCCUACAUGUCUGUUUUGUGCCUGUGCCGUGCUGUUUUUAUUAUCACAGCUCUAAAGCAUAGUUUGAAGACAGGUACUGUGAUACCUCCAAAACUGCUCUGGAGGCAGGAGACAGGAGGCAGGAGGCAGGAGGCAGGAGGCAGGAGGCAGGAGGCAGGAGGCAGGAGGCAGGAUCUCACACUGUAGCCUACAGUAACCUAGAAUUCACUAGGUAGCCCUAAAUUCAUGCCUCAACGUCUUCAGUGCUGGGAUUUUAAGUGAGCCACCAGGCAUGGCCAGCAUUGCUAUUUUUGUUCAGGGCUGACUUGGCUAUUAGGGUCUUUUGUGCUUUCAUAUAAAUUAUGUUUCAAAAUAGCAGUAACUGACAUAUUCCUCAGCUAUUUUACUCACAUAUCAGUUUUGUUUUUUUGGUUUUGUUGUUGUUGUAGUUUUUGGUCUAGAGGGAGUUUUUUUUUAUUUAUUUAAAGUUGAGUGGUUUUGUUUUUGUUUUUAAUUCUUUGUCUUUCAGUUUUUAACAUUUUAAAAAAAGAUUAAUUUAUUUCAUGUGUGUGAGUACACUGUCUUCAGGCACACCAGAAGAGGGCAUCAGAUCUCAUUACAUAUGGUUGUGAGCCACCACGUUGUUGCUGGAAAUUGAGCUCAGGACCUCUGGAAAAGCAAUCAACAGUCAACCACUGAGCCAUCUCUCCAACCCAAGUUUUUAACAAUGUUUUAUGAUCUAACCUACAAUCUAUUUUGGAGAAAAGUUCAAGAUAUCUAUGAAUCUGUACUCCUUACCUUUAGAUAGACUAUUCUGUAUCUCUAUCAGAUAAGUAUGCUUGGUUGAAGUCUGUUGACCACUUUUAUUAAUUAUCUACCUAUCUAUUAGAGUUAGCUAUCCAUCCUCAUUCUAUUUAAAUUUAUCUCUCUUCCUCUUUAGUAGUGUUGAAACCAUGCUUUUCAUAGUUACUAGAGACUUUUCAAUGGUAAGGUUUUUUGGUUUUGUUUUUUUUUUUUUUUUUUUUUUUUGGUAUGGGGGUGAUAUUACAUAGUCCAGGCCAGCUUUAGCUCACAGCAAUCUUCCAGCCUCAGCCUCCUAAGGGGGGAAUUAUAAGUGUGGUACCAUACAAGCUUAAACACCCUUUAACAACAAAAAGGGUUCACUUCCUAUUCAAUUUGCCUUCACUGUAGCAACAUGAUACUGACAACAAAGUCCUUGACUCUUGAAACUGUCCACUUCCCCCUGGGCCCUCUACUACGUAAGUACUCAAUAUGCUUUCUUUGAGGGGGGCAACAUUCUAUGUCUCUGCAAAUAGUGUAGCCACUAUCUUAUGUGGCUACCAAGCACACAAACGCAUACAACAUACACAUAAACACACACAAAAUAAAAAAGGAAUGCCAAAGUGGAAGGCAAUGACUCCAUGGAGAGUGAGAAAAGGAAUCAUUAGAAAGCUCUUGAGUUAGAAAAACCAGUAUCAAUAAAGAUGGUAGAUGUUAAGAGAUCUACAGGAUCACUGAUGAUCUCAGAGAGUCCAAGGCUCUCAUAAAACUUAAACUUAUUUCCUGUACAUUCUGUUUUGUUUGUUGGUUGGUUGGUUUUGCUUUUAAAGCUGAGUUCCGUUGUGCUAUGUCUCAUUUUGUUGGAUUGUUCCUUCUCUCUCUCUCUCUCUCUCUCUCUCUCUCUCUCUCUCUCUCUCUCUCUCUCUCUUGCCAA
This is a non-coding RNA of Rattus norvegicus (Norway rat), 7719 nucleotides long. Lineage: Eukaryota; Metazoa; Chordata; Mammalia; Rodentia; Muridae. The record is from RefSeq and is a predicted model, not a curated record.